AUUGAACGCUGGCGGCAGGCCUAACACAUGCAAGUCGAACGGAUGCAGGGAGAUAGCUUCUGGUUACAGCGGCCGACGGGCGAGCGAGGCCUAGAAAUCUCCCUGUUAGUGUGGGCGAACGUCAGGACGCGGGGGAACUUACCGCAAACGUCCAGAGGGCCAACGGGGGAGAUCAUCGGACCUCCCGCCCUCAGCCGAGCCUAGGUCGGCUUAGCUAGUUGGUGGGGUAAAGGCCUACCAAGGCGACGAUCCGUACCUGGUCUGAGAGGAUGAUCAGUCACACUGGAACUGAGACACGGUCCAGACUCCUACGGGAGGCAGCAGUGGGGAAUAUUGGACAAUGGGCGCAAGCCUGAUCCAGCCAUGCCGCGUGUGUGAAGAAGGCCUUCGGAUUGUAAAGCCCUUUUAUUGGGGAGGAAGGGCAGUAGGUUAAUACCUUGCUGUUCUGACGGUACCAACAGAAUAAGCACCGGCUAACUUCGUG
This 484-nucleotide ribosomal RNA is filed under the name uncultured bacterium. RNAcentral's name for it is "partial 16S ribosomal RNA". It matches the Rfam family "Bacterial small subunit ribosomal RNA", at positions 30 to 507 of the family's 1533-position model. The record is from RNAcentral.